This 535-nucleotide ribosomal RNA is filed under the name uncultured bacterium. RNAcentral describes it as "bacterial SSU rRNA". It matches the Rfam family "Bacterial small subunit ribosomal RNA", at positions 777 to 1311 of the family's 1533-position model. The record is from RNAcentral.
UAUAGAUACCCUGGUAGUCCACGCCGUAAACGAUGAGUGCUAAGUGUUAGAGGGUUUCCGCCCUUUAGUGCUGAAGUUAACGCAUUAAGCACUCCGCCUGGGGGAGUACGGCCGCAAGGCUGAAACUCAAAGAAUUGACGGGGGCCCGCACAAGCGGUGGAGCAUGUGGUUUAAUUCGAAGCAACGCGAAGAACCUUACCAGGUCUUGACAUCCUCUGACAACCCUAGAGAUAGGGCUUCCCCUUCGGGGGCAGAGUGACAGGCGGUGCAUGGUUGUCGUCAGCUCGUGUCGUGAGAUGUUGGGUUAAGUCCCGCAACGAGCGCAACCCUUGAUCUUAGUUGCCAUCAUUCAGUUGGGCACUCUAAGGUGACUGCCGGUGACAAACCGGAGGAAGGUGGGGAUGACGUCAAAUCAUCAUGCCCCUUAUGACCUGGGCUACACACGUGCUACAAUGGACGGUACAAAGAGUCGCGAGACCGCGAGGUGGAGCUAAUCUCAUAAAAACCGUUCUCAGUUCGGAUUGUAGGCUGCAAC